This 1154-nucleotide long non-coding RNA is filed under the name Homo sapiens (human). Its description in RNAcentral is "PREDICTED lncRNA (TCONS_00248709)". The record is from RNAcentral. Lineage: Eukaryota; Metazoa; Chordata; Mammalia; Primates; Hominidae.
UAUGACUUUCCGGGGUACACGCCACAGGAAAAAGGAAAAAGUCUCAGGUGGGCAUGCGUGUAACUCCCUAAACGCACUGCGCGUGCUCAAUUCCAAAGGCUAAGGAAAGCAUUGCGCAUGCGGGAAACCCACGCUGAGGGAAGAAUCAUGGGAAAGAGUAGAGACGGGGUUCCACCGUGUUAGCCAGGAUGGUCUCGAUUUCCUGACCUCGUCAUCCUCCCGCCUUGGCCUCCCAAAGUGCUGGGAUUACAGGCUUGAGCCACCGCGCCCCGCUCUUUCGUGUUCCAAAGGCUUUUUAAAUAAACUUCCACUCCUGUCCUGGAUUCUGCUUUAUGGCCCUCAGUCGAAUUCUUUCUUCUGAGGAGGCAAGGACUGAAGUUGCUUCUGACCAGUACAGGAGAAAACGAAUACAGCAGGGAUGACUUCCACCAGCUCCACUUUGCAGCUCUGAGGUGUAUUAAAAAUAAACCUAGAGCCCCACCAAAUGAAUCCGCUGGCACGUGGACCUCAGAUGGGGGAAACUGAGGACUGAAUUCUGACCACCCUCCUUUGUUCUAAAUUUCUUCCUGAAGGACCUGGAAGAAGUCAUGCCACGGGCCAGACCUUAACAUUCCUUUCGGCUUACCCCAGGAUUUCAGACAAAGCUUCACUUUCCUAACCAGUCACAAAUCAGAGAAUUUUUGAUUCCACCUAUGACCUGUGAGCUCCUGCUUCAAGAUAUUCCACCUUUUUUAGGCCAAACCAAUGUAUAACCUCCAAGUGUCGAUUUACACUUUCGACUGUAACUUCUGCUUUCCUGAGAUUUACCCCUGCCUUUAAAAACCCUUGCUUGUAAUCCCUCAGGGAGGCCGUGUAUUUAUUAAUCAUGAGCUGCCCAAUUCUCCUUGCUUGGUGCCCUGCAAAUAAACACCCUCUUUUCUCCCACUGCAAAACCUCAGUGUGGAUGUUUGGCUUUACUUCACCCCCAGGAAAGCAGACCCAGGUUUGACUCAGCAACAACAUCUGUUUCUAUUUUUCUCUGUAUAAAUAUUAAAAACCAUAAGUACAUGCUAUCUCCAAUUCCAAUAUAAACCCAUAGGGCUCAUUCUGGCCUUCCCAUUUUCUUAUGUGUAAUUCAUUUCUCUGAAAAUGAGAAUUCGAGUACUCAGAUAUUU